UGGCGGGGUAGCUCAGUUGGUUAGAGCAGAGGAAUCAUAAUCCUUGUGUCGGGGGUUCAAAUCCCUCCCUC
This 71-nucleotide transfer RNA is filed under the name Alphaproteobacteria bacterium MarineAlpha5_Bin9. RNAcentral's name for it is "tRNA-Met". It matches the Rfam family "tRNA". Rfam says of the family: Transfer RNA (tRNA) molecules are approximately 80 nucleotides in length. The record is from RNAcentral. Lineage: Bacteria; Pseudomonadati; Pseudomonadota; Alphaproteobacteria.